Molecule: long non-coding RNA, 877 nt
Filed under: Citrus maxima (pomelo)
Lineage: Eukaryota; Viridiplantae; Streptophyta; Magnoliopsida; Sapindales; Rutaceae
Description: long non-coding RNA (CMAX_LNC004097)
Source: RNAcentral
GAUUAUUGUAUAUUUAAAUUUCUAGAAAAUCACAAAAAAGUUGUAAAAGUUUUAGACUAAAAUGAAUAAUUUUCAGAACUAUAGAAACUUUUUUUAAUACUAAAACUUUUGGCCCAAACUGUAAAUAAAAUACAAGAAGUAUCCAGGCCAUAACAUAAUUUUCAAAACAUUAGACACACAAUGAUAUUUUGCCAUGAUGACUUUCGGCCAAGGACCUUUCUGAAAGAUUUACAAACAUAUUGAGCUAUAACAAAAUUUCUGUGGGUAAAUAUUUCCUCAAAAUUGAGCCAUAACAAAAUUUACAUAAAUAUAAGGAUCAGACGAUAAUUUCACUGCACUUCAUCUUCUUCCUCACGAUGGAGCUCCAGUUAUCUACAAUAAGCUACAGUGAACGUUGUUCGAACAACCCGAUAUUGGCCACCAAAAAUUAUGAAAAAAUCAUAUGUUUACUCCACAAACAUCACCCACAUAUUAUUUAACAACCAUUUACUCAAAUAUGCCCAAAAUCAAAAAAUCCGAAAAUAAAGAAAAAUGCCAUGGGUGAGCCAACGUUUGAUUCAUCAACAAAAUUCGCCAUGGUUUACAAAGAAAUGUAUAACCAUAAAAUCUUAUACCAAUUACUGUAAUAAAUUCGAGUUUUAUGUCCUUAAUCUUGCAUUUCUAAUUAAACACAUGCAUUGGGUAAAAAUUCAAAAUUUACCUUGAUUAGCCAUGAAUCUCAGCUUGUGGACUUGUUAAGAAGAUUCUACAGAUUGCCACUAACUGAAUCCAAACCAUUGCAACUUGUUGCCUUUCCUCAACCCAUGAUAUGAAUGAUUUGCACAGCCACUGCACACACACAAACGGCAGAGAAAGGGAGACACUCAUAGUCAUGGCC